Molecule: long non-coding RNA, 521 nt
Organism: Anneissia japonica
Lineage: Eukaryota; Metazoa; Echinodermata; Crinoidea; Comatulida; Comatulidae
Exons: 2
Source: RefSeq, a predicted model, not a curated record
CACAAAUCCAACUCUGCUCACUGUGAGCGCUAGAUGACGCGACACCAUCUGUUGAUUGCCUGCGGCAGUCUGAAUACAUCAUCAAUGUCCAAAUUUAACUGGUUGUUCUUCGAUAAACCACGCCCACCUGCGCAGAGGUAAAAUCCUACGUAACAAAAUGACCAGUUGAUAGAAAACUGGUAAAUACUCGACGAAACAAAAUGGCUGCGUAGUUACCGCAAUACAUGCUGCGUAAAUCAAGGAUGCUUCAGAUUGUGGCAGUAUGGGUUUUUCGUAAAAAAAUUUUUUCAUCCAGUUUUGAAUUCUGUUAGCCUCCAAUUAUUUUUUGACUUCAUGUGGGUAAAUAUUAUAAUUUUGUAUUCUGAAAUUUAAUUUCAAUUAUAUUAACACAAAAAUUAAUGUUGUUGCUAAACUGACCAAUCGGCCAUGUUUGUUUUGGUCACGUGGAUACCUUAACUCUGAUUAACACACUCUGGUUUAUGUUAAUUUUCGUUGUCAACGAAGUCUAUUUUACGAACCAG